Molecule: ribosomal RNA, 253 nt
Filed under: uncultured bacterium
Lineage: Bacteria
Description: partial 16S ribosomal RNA
Rfam family: Bacterial small subunit ribosomal RNA
Source: RNAcentral
UACGGAGGGAGCUAGCGUUGUUCGGAAUUACUGGGCGUAAAGCGCACGUAGGCGGCUACUCAAGUCAGAGGUGAAAGCCCAGGGCUCAACCUUGGAACUGCCUUUGAAACUAGGUAGCUAGAAUUCUGGAGAGGUCAGUGGAAUUCCGAGUGUAGAGGUGAAAUUCGUAGAUAUUCGCAAGAACACCAGUGGCGAAGGCGGCUCACUGGCCCGGUACUGACGCUGAGGUGCGAAAGCGUGGGGAGCAAACAGG